Molecule: ribosomal RNA, 417 nt
Filed under: uncultured bacterium
Lineage: Bacteria
Description: bacterial SSU rRNA
Rfam family: Bacterial small subunit ribosomal RNA
Source: RNAcentral
UGGGGAAUAUUGGGCAAUGGGGGAAACCCUGACCCAGCAACGCCGCGUGAGGGAAGAAGGCUUUCGAGUUGUAAACCUCUGUCCUAUGGGAAGAAGAAAGUGACUGUACCAUAGGAGGAAGCUCCGGCUAACUACGUGCCAGCAGCCGCGGUAAUACGUAGGGAGCAAGCGUUGUCCGGAAUUACUGGGCGUAAAGGGUGCGUAGGCGGCGCAGUUAGUCAGAAGUGAAAUAUCGGGGCUUAACUCCGGGACUGCUUCUGAUACUGCUGUGCUCGAGUGCAGGAGAGGUAAGUGGAAUUCCUAGUGUAGCGGUGAAAUGCGUAGAUAUUAGGAGGAACACCAGUGGCGAAGGCGACUUACUGGACUGUAACUGACGCUGAGGCACGAAAGCGUGGGUAGCAAACAGGAUUAGAUACC